CCGCCCCUGUAUUCCCCUCCUUCGCUGGCAGGUGGAGAUGACGGGCAGCAGCGUCUUCGACUACAUCCACCCAGGGGACCACUCGGAGGUGCUGGAGCUACUGGGACUGUGGGCACUGACCCCCGGUCCCCCAACCCCGCCCUCCAUCUCCUCCACUUCCUCCUCCUCCUCUUCCUCUUUGCUUGCGGAUACCCCCGAAAUCGAGGCCAGCCUCACCAAGGUGCCCCCCUCCUCCAUGGUCCAGGAGCACUCCUUCUUUGUCCACAUGAAAUCCACGCUCACCAAGAGGGGGCUGCACGUCAAGGCCUCGGGGUACAAGGUCAUCCACGUGACUGGGCCCCUUUGGGCCCACGCCCUGGGCCUUGUGGCCCUUGGGCACACGUUGCCCGCCGCUCCCCUGGCUGAGCUGCCACUCCAUAGACACAUGAUCGUCUUCCGUCUCCACCUGGGUCUCACCAUCCUUGCUUGUGAGAGCAGAGUCAGCGACCACAUGGACCUGGGGCCCUCAGAGCUGGUGGGCCGCAGCUGUUACCAGUUCGCUCACGGACAGGUUGCCACCAGGAUCUGCCAGAGCCAUGUGGACUUGCUGGACAAGGGUCAGGUGAUGACUGGUUACUACCGUUGGCUACAGCGCACUGGGGGCUUCGUGUGGCUGCAGUCUGUGGCCACGGUGGCUGGCAGCGGGAAGAGCCCCAGGGAGCACCAUGUGCUUUGGGUCAGCCUUGUGCUCAGCCAAGCUGAGGGUGGCCAAACUCCUUUGGAUGCUUUCCAGCUUCCAGCCAGUAUGACCUGCGAGGACUCAUCCAGCCCGGGACGAGAGCCCACAGAGCCGGAGACUCCCGCAGAAGGGAACUAGACUGCCUCGCUGGAGAAGGAGGCCCCACAGAUGCAGGGCAAACGCAUCAAAGUGGAGCCCGUCCCGAGGGAAACCAAAGGCUCAGAGGACAGUGGCGACGAGGAUCCCUCUGGCCACCCGGCCCCACCGCGGCCCAAGUUCACCUCUCUCAUCCGGGCGGGGGCCCUGAAGCAGGACCCAGUGCGGCCGUGGGGCCUGGCACCUCCCAUGGAACCCCCCCGCCCGCCCUCCUGCAUGCGGGCUUCCUGACCCUUGUCCUGCAUGUGACAUUCGCUAUGGCCCUGUGGAGCUGGGCCUGGUGUACCCGCAUCUGCAGAGGCUGGGCCCAGGCCCUGCGCUCCCAGAGGCCUUUUACUCGCCCCAGGGUCUGCAGGCACCAGGACGCCACAGAAGGGGGACUGAGGACUGGCAGAGCCGCCGGCGUUGGAUCUUUCGAAGGCUGGGGGCCCCUCCGGGACAGCGGCCCUGCUCUGCCCUUAGCCCUGAGAAUUAAAGUCCGGCUCCCCCUGCAGUAGUUUGGGCUCCAAAACAAAACAAAACAAAACAAACAAACAAACAAAAAACUCAUGGCUCCAAUUUGCUCGUGGAUGCACCCACUCCCACGUUUUUUGUACUUAAAAGCCACAUUACAAGCUGCCAUCCAUCCCCUCCCCGUUUCUGUGGACCUUGGGACCUUUUUUUUUUUUGGCAAGAUUUGAGUAGUUUAAUGAGUUUUACUUAUUAGAGGUAAAACUCACAUGUUUUACCUCUAAUAAGUAAAUUGUAUCUAAUUUUUUUCAAUAAAGAUGUUUUCAAUACCCAUUUUUAGAAUAAAGCAACAUUCCCGUUCUCUCUCCCUCUUUCUCCUCUUUCUUCCUCUUCAUUCAAAAAAAAAAAAAAAAACUUCAGAUAACCACCCUAGCUCUUUACUCCUCUUUGUUACUGUUAUGCAACAGAGAUACAUUUUGUUUUUUGUUUUAGUUAUAAAAAUGAGAUAAACUUGAAUAUGAA
Non-coding RNA from Callithrix jacchus (white-tufted-ear marmoset), 1846 nucleotides. Lineage: Eukaryota; Metazoa; Chordata; Mammalia; Primates; Cebidae. The record is from RefSeq and is a predicted model, not a curated record.